Long non-coding RNA from Gambusia affinis (western mosquitofish), 340 nucleotides. RefSeq lists it as uncharacterized. The transcript is spliced from 3 exons. The record is from RefSeq and is a predicted model, not a curated record. NCBI's taxonomy places the organism in Eukaryota, Metazoa, Chordata, Actinopteri, Cyprinodontiformes, Poeciliidae.
CUUUCACCUGCUGUUGGUGUCGUUACAUCAGAUUUGCUCUGGAUUCUUUUCACGAAAAACACCAAGGACUCCACAACAUACAGAGGAUGAAGUUCUGGCUCUCUUGGUGGGGAAUAUUUUUUUUCACGUUCCAUUAUACUGCAAGUGCUGAAAAAUGUGCUAAAGAUAACUGUGAUGUAAACAAAAAUGCUUGUAACAUGACAGCUCCUGAACAUACCAGGAAAAAAUGCUGCUUGGCACAUGUAAGCAAAUGUCUGGGGAAUGGAAAUGUGAAUGGGAAUGGAAAGGGAAAUCGGAAUUGGAAUGGAAAUGUGAAUGGGAAUGGAAAGGGAAAUGAGAA